This 68-nucleotide transfer RNA is filed under the name Coniopteryx sp. YW-2016. RNAcentral describes it as "tRNA-Asp". Lineage: Eukaryota; Metazoa; Arthropoda; Insecta; Neuroptera; Coniopterygidae. The record is from RNAcentral.
AGAAAAUUAGUUAAUUAUAUAUAACAUUAAUAUGUCAAAUUAAAAUUAUCAAUCCUUGAUAUUUUCUA